GAGUUUGAUCCUGGCUCAGGACGAACGCUGGCGGCGUGCUUAACACAUGCAAGUCGAACGGAAAGGCCCCGCUUGCGGGGUACUCGAGUGGCGAACGGGUGAGUAACACGUGGGUGAUCUGCCCUGCACUUCGGGAUAAGCCUGGGAAACUGGGUCUAAUACCGGAUAGGACCCCUCUUUAGUGUGGGGGGUGGAAAGUUUUUUCGGUGUGGGAUGAGCCCGCGGCCUAUCAGCUUGUUGGUGGGGUAAUGGCCUACCAAGGCGUCGACGGGUAGCCGGCCUGAGAGGGUGGACGGCCACAUUGGGACUGAGAUACGGCCCAGACUCCUACGGGAGGCAGCAGUGGGGAAUAUUGCACAAUGGGCGGAAGCCUGAUGCAGCGACGCCGCGUGGGGGAUGACGGCCUUCGGGUUGUAAACCUCUUUCGCUAGGGACGAAGCUUUUGUGACGGUACCUAGAUAAGAAGCACCGGCUAACUACGUGCCAGCAGCCGCGGUAAUACGUAGGGUGCGAGCGUUGUCCGGAAUUACUGGGCGUAAAGAGCUCGUAGGUGGUUUGUCGCGUCGUCUGUGAAAUUCCGGGGCUUAACUUCGGGCGUGCAGGCGAUACGGGCAAUACUUGAAUGCUGUAGGGGAGACUGGAAUUCCUGGUGUAGCGGUGGAAUGCGCAGAUAUCAGGAGGAACACCGAUGGCGAAGGCAGGUCUCUGGGCAGUAACUGACGCUGAGGAGCGAAAGCAUGGGUAGCGAACAGGAUUAGAUACCCUGGUAGUCCAUGCCGUAAACGGUGGGCGCUAGGUGUAGGGGUCUUCCACGACUUCUGUGCCGUAGCUAACGCAUUAAGCGCCCCGCCUGGGGAGUACGGCCGCAAGGCUAAAACUCAAAGGAAUUGACGGGGGCCCGCACAAGCGGCGGAGCAUGUGGAUUAAUUCGAUGCAACGCGAAGAACCUUACCUGGGCUUGACAUACACCGGACCGGGCCAGAGAUGGUCUUUCCCUUGUGGCUGGUGUACAGGUGGUGCAUGGUUGUCGUCAGCUCGUGUCGUGAGAUGUUGGGUUAAGUCCCGCAACGAGCGCAACCCUUGUCUUAUGUUGCCAGCACGUAGUGGUGGGGACUCAUGAGAGACUGCCGGGGUCAACUCGGAGGAAGGUGGGGAUGACGUCAAAUCAUCAUGCCCCUUAUGUCCAGGGCUUCACACAUGCUACAAUGGGCGGUACAACGCGUUGCGACACUGUGAGGUGGAGCUAAUCGCUGAAAGCCGGCCUCAGUUCGGAUUGGGGUCUGCAACUCGACCCCAUGAAGUCGGAGUCGCUAGUAAUCGCAGAUCAGCAACGCUGCGGUGAAUACGUUCCCGGGCCUGUACACAC
This 1366-nucleotide ribosomal RNA is filed under the name uncultured bacterium. RNAcentral's name for it is "bacterial SSU rRNA". It matches the Rfam family "Bacterial small subunit ribosomal RNA". The record is from RNAcentral.